CAAGAUCGAACUAAAGAGUUUGAUCCUGGCUCAGAUUGAACGCUGGCGGCAUGCUUUACACAUGCAAGUCGAACG
Molecule: ribosomal RNA, 75 nt
Filed under: Stutzerimonas stutzeri
Lineage: Bacteria; Pseudomonadati; Pseudomonadota; Gammaproteobacteria; Pseudomonadales; Pseudomonadaceae
Description: partial 16S ribosomal RNA
Rfam family: Bacterial small subunit ribosomal RNA
Source: RNAcentral